GACGAACGCUGGCGGCGUGCUUAACACAUGCAAGUCGAACGAGAGCGUAGAGAAAGCUUGCUUUUUCUACAAUCUAGUGGCAAACGGGUGAGUAACGCGUAAACAACCUGCCCUACGGAUGGGGACAACAGCUGGAAACGGCUGCUAAUACCGAAUACGUUCCGAAAGUCGCAUGACUAUCGGAAGAAAGGAUGGCCUCUAUUUAUAAGCUAUCGCCGGAGGAGGGGUUUGCGUCUGAUUAGCUAGUUGGAGGGGUAACGGCCCACCAAGGCGACGAUCAGUAGCCGGUCUGAGAGGAUGAACGGCCACAUUGGAACUGAGACACGGUCCAGACUCCUACGGGAGGCAGCAGUGGGGAAGCUUCCGCAAUGGGCGAAAGCCUGACGGAGCAACGCCGCGUGAGUGAAGACGGCCUUCGGGUUGUAAAGCUCUGUUAUACGGGACGAAUAAUCUUGUGGUUAAUACCCAUGAGAAGUGACGGUACCGUAAGAGAAAGCCACGGCUAACUACGUG
Molecule: ribosomal RNA, 513 nt
Filed under: uncultured bacterium
Lineage: Bacteria
Description: partial 16S ribosomal RNA
Rfam family: Bacterial small subunit ribosomal RNA
Source: RNAcentral